RNAcentral lists this long non-coding RNA (580 nucleotides) under Sus scrofa (pig). Its description in RNAcentral is "lncRNA (multiple genes)". Lineage: Eukaryota; Metazoa; Chordata; Mammalia; Artiodactyla; Suidae. The record is from RNAcentral.
GUCAUGAAUUUAGUGAGUAGGAUGAUAUUUUAAGCACAGUGUUUUCAUCAACUAUUUUACAGCUCCAUCUUUCCCUGUUUCUAAUUUACUGCUGUGCCGAUCCGUGGCUGAAAUUUAAGGAGGCUGAUCCUCUCAAAAUUCUCUGCCGCUUUAUUAUUUGUGACUAGCUUCUCUUUCUAUAUAGCAGGCGAGUGAGGCGAUUAUUACCCAGCCUUUGGUGGAAAAGAUCCGCUUCUAGGAAGAGGCACCUGACUGACUGUCUGGUGAGGUCGUCAAACACUGGGCAGGAUUUUGCUGAGCAGAACGGCCCCUUCCAUUACAGAUCGUCUGGGGUCUCCAUGGCUGUUUCCAGCAGGCACUGCCCUGGGGGCAAGUAAAGCUGAGGCCUGUGGCCCCGUGAGGACUCAGAAGUCCUGAAGGAGGGUAGAGUCACAAGACUAAGGGGCAGACUGUCCCCCAACAAGCUACAUGGAUUUCAGGUGAGUGAAAAUACAUUUCUAAAUCACUGAGAGUUUGAGGUGAUUUGAUGUAGCAGAGGGCAUUAUACUAAUAGAACUGAUAUAUAAUUUAAAUAUUUCUA